AUAAUGAUACUUCCGGGUUGCAAAGAGAUUUGUAAUCCGGUCAAUUAAAUGACGGUGCAAGACCGAUGU
Regulatory RNA element from Lachnospiraceae bacterium 28-4, 69 nucleotides. It matches the Rfam family "pemK RNA". Lineage: Bacteria; Bacillati; Bacillota; Clostridia; Lachnospirales; Lachnospiraceae. The record is from Rfam.